Molecule: ribosomal RNA, 859 nt
Filed under: uncultured bacterium
Lineage: Bacteria
Description: bacterial SSU rRNA
Rfam family: Bacterial small subunit ribosomal RNA
Source: RNAcentral
UACGGGGGGUGCAAGCGUUAAUCGGAAUCACUGGGCGUAAAGGGUGCGUAGGCGGUACGUUAGGUCUGUCGUGAAAUCCCCGGGCUCAACCUGGGAAUGGCGGUAGAAACCGGCGCACUAGAGUAUGGGAGAGGGUGGUGGAAUUCCAGGUGUAGCGGUGAAAUGCGUAGAGAUCUGGAGGAACAUCAGUGGCGAAGGCGGCCACCUGGCCCAAUACUGACGCUGAGGCACGAAAGCGUGGGGAGCAAACAGGAUUAGAUACCCUGGUAGUCCACGCCCUAAACGAUGAAUACUAGAUGUUUGGUACCUAGCGUACUGAGUGUCGUAGCUAACGCGAUAAGUAUUCCGCCUGGGAAGUACGGCCGCAAGGUUAAAACUCGAAGGAAUUGACGGGGGCCCGCACAAGCGGUGGAGCAUGUGGUUUAAUUCGAUGCAACGCGAAGAACCUUACCUGGGCUUGACAUGUCCGGAAUCCUGCAGAGAUGCGGGAGUGCCCUUCGGGGAAUCGGAACACAGGUGCUGCAUGGCUGUCGUCAGCUCGUGUCGUGAGAUGUUGGGUUAAGUCCCGCAACGAGCGCAACCCUUGUCCUUAGUUGCCAGCGGUUCGGCCGGGCACUCUAGGGAGACUGCCGGUGACAAACCGGAGGAAGGUGGGGAUGACGUCAAGUCCUCAUGGCCUUUAUGUCCAGGGCUACACACGUGCUACAAUGGCGCGUACAGAGGGAAGCCAAGCCGCGAGGUGGAGCAGACCCCAGAAAGCGCGUCGUAGUUCGGAUUGCAGUCUGCAACUCGACUGCAUGAAGUCGGAAUCGCUAGUAAUCGCGGAUCAGCAUGCCGCGGUGAAUACGUCCCCGGGCCU